Molecule: small RNA, 28 nt
Filed under: Bombyx mori (domestic silkworm)
Lineage: Eukaryota; Metazoa; Arthropoda; Insecta; Lepidoptera; Bombycidae
Description: ovarian small RNA-33306
Source: RNAcentral
UGCAACAGAUAUAGCAGGAUGGACCGAG